Long non-coding RNA from Amphimedon queenslandica, 148 nucleotides. RefSeq lists it as uncharacterized. The transcript is spliced from 2 exons. The record is from RefSeq and is a predicted model, not a curated record. NCBI's taxonomy places the organism in Eukaryota, Metazoa, Porifera, Demospongiae, Haplosclerida, Niphatidae.
AGGCUAAGUCUUAUUUUGCAGAAGGAGAAUUAGAACAAGCUUUCAUACUCUACAACAAGUUUGCUACUCUAUUCAUUGAGAAACUUCCAAAGCAUCCUGAAUACUCCAGGGCUCCAGCAACAGAGAAGCAAAGAGUAAAGAAACUAGU